CCUACGGGUGGCAGCAGUGAGGAAUAUUGGUCAAUGGGCGAGAGCCUGAACCAGCCAAGUCGCGUGAGGGAGUACUGCCCUAUGGGUUGUAAACCUCUUUUGUCGGGGAGCAAAAGCCGGCCGUUUUCCGCUGUUAGAGUUCCCGUAGAAAUAGCACCGGCCAACUCCGCUCCAGCAGCCGCGGUUAUACGGCGGGGGCAAGCGUUUUCCGUAAUUUGUGGGUGUAAAGGGUGAGUAGGCGGCAUGGUAAGCCAGAUGUGAAAGCCUUGGGCUUAACCCGAGGAUUGCAUUUGAAACUGUCAGGCUAGAGUACAGGAGAGGGAAGCGGAAUUCCUAGUGUAGCGGUGAAAUGCUUAGAUAUUAGGAAGAACACCAGUGGCGAAGGCGGCUUUCUGGACUGAAACUGACGCUGAGGCACGAAAGCGUGGGGAGCGAACAGGAUUAGAUACCCUUGUAGUC
This 459-nucleotide ribosomal RNA is filed under the name uncultured bacterium. RNAcentral describes it as "partial 16S ribosomal RNA". It matches the Rfam family "Bacterial small subunit ribosomal RNA", at positions 338 to 795 of the family's 1533-position model. The record is from RNAcentral.